UAACACGGGGAGGCGGGAGUUCAGACAUUCAGUGCUUCACGGUUAAUACUUACUUGGGCCAAGCCCAUAUUUUUUACCCUAAAUUCUGAUCCAUAUAAAAAGGUAAAAAAAAAAUGUAAACCCUAAAUUUCUACCCUCUCACUCACUCACACUCUCUCAGACUCUCAGUCACACUCUCUCUCUCUCUAAAAAAAUACCAAGUGCGCCGCUUGCUUAGUUGCUCCACUCCUCACCGUCUGAUCCUCUCUAUCUCUCAUCCUCUCUCAAUUCUUCGGUUCAUUCCUCUUCAUUCACUCGGGAAAUGGCUGAACUGGUUGACCAAAUAGGCUCAUCGGCCAUCCUCCUCCAAGGCUCCAACAAUAUCUAAUGUUAUGUUCUUGUUUUAAAAAAUUCUAGUUACUGUAAUUUGUGCCUUUGAGGCAACUUUAUUUGGUCUGUAAAACUUAAUAAUUCGUUCCAACUUAUUAGUGUGUGCAAACUUAACUCCUAGACUUAUUAUAUUUUAACUCUUUAUGAGUUAAACUUUUGUGUAAGAUAUUCAGGUAUUUCUUAUCGGGA
This is a long non-coding RNA of Spinacia oleracea (spinach), 558 nucleotides long. RefSeq lists it as uncharacterized. NCBI's taxonomy places the organism in Eukaryota, Viridiplantae, Streptophyta, Magnoliopsida, Caryophyllales, Amaranthaceae. The record is from RefSeq and is a predicted model, not a curated record. The transcript has 2 exons.